AGAGGCGGCGCGGGCUGGGGCCCAGCAGGACUGCCAGGGCCUGCGGGAGGCGAGCCCAUACGGACUCUACUGAAGGGGCAUUUGGCCGAGGAGGGAUCCGUGGCAGAGCCUACCGGCCUGGGGAGAUGUACGCAUGGCUCACUAUCUCAGGGCGGGUUCUGCCUAAAGGACCCAACAGCGCCUGCGGCGUGCUGGCAGUAGGAGACGCUCCCGCCCAUUGGCCCAUCUUAUCCGCCCCCGCCAUGGCCCGCCGGGGCCACCGGGGCCGAGCACAUCACAGCGACAGGAGUUAGUGCGCUAAUGGAGUGAAGGGGAGAGGUGAGAUUGACAGCCUCUGUGUCGGCCCAGAGGCCGACUGUGGGCCUCUGUGUCAGCCCAGAGGACGUCCCAGUAACGAUUGGGCAAGGUCCUGUGUAAAGGCGACGGGGGAAGUAGCGACCAAUGGAUUUGGCUGGCAACGUCGCAAACGAGGGUGGGUCUUGCAUUCUUGGGCCUGACGAUUGGUCUUUCCAAGUGGCGGAAACGACGGAGAUGUGACUGGAAACAAAAUCUGGUAUUAAAGCGCUGGGAGACAAAACGUCGGCCUCGAGGGUCGGAGCGUCGGAUAACGGUUGCCUUCCCGCGAUGUCUUGCCUGCCCGCGGGCUUCUCGGGCCACGUCCAGCCCGGCUCCCGGAAAGCCCAGCCUCUGGCUGUGCUGCCCUAGAGGGCGUCAAGUGGUAUGGAGAGCCCUGGGCGGGACUAGUGUAUUUUUUAAUGCUGCGUUUUAUUGGGGACUAAGACAACUGAGAUUAGUUCUCACGAUGUUGCCCAAGCUGGUCUUAAACUCCUAGGUUCAAAGGAGCCUUCUACCUUAGCCUCCCAAGCAGCUGAGACUACAGGAAUGGGCACUACAGACCAUGUCAUCAUCCUGGCGUCACCCAGGCUGGAAUGCAGUUGCAUGAUCUUGGCUCAUGGCAGCCUCCACCUCCUGGGUUCAAGCAAUUAUCUGGCCUCAGCCUCUGGCAUAACUGGGAUUACAGGUGCGUACGUACCACCAUGCCCAGCUAAUUUUUGUAUUAGUAGAGAUGGGUUUUCACCAUGUUGGCCAGGCUGGUCUCAAACUCCCGACUUCAGGUGAUCUGCCCACCUCAGCCUCCCAAGGUGCUGGGAUUACAGGCGUGAGCCCCCAUGCCCGGCCAUCUUUGUUCUUCCUUGAGGGCCCCUUCUUCCUUUUAAACCCUGAUAGAGAGCAGAACUCCACCCACAUUGUGGCUGUUUGUGUUGACAAUGGGUGACAUCACCAACAUCUGCAAUGACACUGCACUGCACUCGGUGCAGGAGGGACACACUUCUGUGCACACUCUCAACUUCGACUACACUGUGGAGUGCAUCCUUGUAGGUACAGAGGGUUCGCCCUGGGUGAAGGCUGAUCUUAGCAGGGCUUGAACCCCAGAAAUACCCAGGCAGGUAUUUAGAGGUGAGGUGGAUGGAACCAGAUCCAGGCCUGAGUGUCCUGUGAUUUAGUGGCAGGGAACCAUCACAGGGGAAGGAACACACAUUGCGUUUCAGUUCUAUAUAACUCAUAUCUUUAUGAUACCACGUACUUUUCCUUAGUUUAAAAUAUCACAGAUCUACCUAAGAGUAGACAGACUCCUCCAACGGAAAUAUAAAAAUGCCUUGUCAAAGAAAAUGAAAAAAUAAAAAUAAAAACAUGUCCCCCCCAAAAUAAAAA
Molecule: long non-coding RNA, 1713 nt
Filed under: Macaca mulatta (Rhesus monkey)
Lineage: Eukaryota; Metazoa; Chordata; Mammalia; Primates; Cercopithecidae
Description: lncRNA (ENSMMUG00000057006.1)
Source: RNAcentral